This 841-nucleotide ribosomal RNA is filed under the name uncultured bacterium. RNAcentral describes it as "bacterial SSU rRNA". It matches the Rfam family "Bacterial small subunit ribosomal RNA", at positions 50 to 872 of the family's 1533-position model. The record is from RNAcentral.
AAUACAUGCAAGUCGAGCGAACAGACGAGGAGCUUGUUCCUCUGACGUUAGCGGCGGACGGGUGAGUAACACGUGGAUAACCUACCUAUAAGACUGGGAUAACUUCGGGAAACCGGAGCUAAUACCGGAUAACAUGUUGAACCGCAUGGUUCAACAGUGAAAGACGGUCUUGCUGUCGCUUAUAGAUGGAUCCGCGCCGCAUUAGCUAGUUGGUAAGGUAACGGCUUACCAAGGCAACGAUGCGUAGCCGACCUGAGAGGGUGAUCGGCCACACUGGAACUGAGACACGGUCCAGACUCCUACGGGAGGCAGCAGUAGGGAAUCUUCCGCAAUGGGCGAAAGCCUGACGGAGCAACGCCGCGUGAGUGAAGAAGGUCUUCGGAUCGUAAAACUCUGUUAUUAGGGAAGAACAAAUGUGUAAGUAACUAUGCACGUCUUGACGGUACCUAAUCAGAAAGCCACGGCUAACUACGUGCCAGCAGCCGCGGUAAUACGUAGGUGGCAAGCGUUAUCCGGAAUUAUUGGGCGUAAAGCGCGCGUAGGCGGUUUUUUAAGUCUGAUGUGAAAGCCCACGGCUCAACCGUGGAGGGUCAUUGGAAACUGGAAAACUUGAGUGCAGAAGAGGAAAGUGGAAUUCCAUGUGUAGCGGUGAAAUGCGCAGAGAUAUGGAGGAACACCAGUGGCGAAGGCGACUUUCUGGUCUGUAACUGACGCUGAUGUGCGAAAGCGUGGGGAUCAAACAGGAUUAGAUACCCUGGUAGUCCACGCCGUAAACGAUGAGUGCUAAGUGUUAGGGGGUUUCCGCCCCUUAGUGCUGCAGCUAACGCAUUAAGCACUCCGC